This 245-nucleotide ribosomal RNA is filed under the name uncultured Bacteroidota bacterium. RNAcentral's name for it is "uncultured Bacteroidetes bacterium partial 16S ribosomal RNA". It matches the Rfam family "Bacterial small subunit ribosomal RNA", at positions 524 to 768 of the family's 1533-position model. Lineage: Bacteria; Pseudomonadati; Bacteroidota. The record is from RNAcentral.
UACGGAGGAUGCAAGCGUUAUCCGGAUUUAUUGGGUUUAAAGGGUGCGUAGGCGGGUGAUUAAGCGUGAGGUGAAAUGCCACGGCUCAACCGUGGAACUGCCUCGCGAACUGGUCGUCUGGAAUGCUCCUGCCGUGGGAGGAAUGGGUAGUGUAGCGGUGAAAUGCAUAGAUAUUACCCAGAACACCGAUUGCGAAGGCAUCUCACGAAGGGGUGAUUGACGCUGAUGCACGAAAGCGUGGGGAU